GUCCAUGUAAACGUAGGCAUUAAGAGAGAAGGAUGUGUGUCCCCUUCUCAAGUGUCGGACACUAAUGUGGAAGUCGUCGAUCCCGCAGGAAUGACGUGUUUUUUUAGGCCACCACAGGAGUUAGCAUCACCCCGGUUCCCUCGACAAAAAGCCAGUAGGAUUUUUCUAUUGGCUUUUGGAUUAUUGCCAAAAAUACACUCUUUGACCAACAAAAGCUUAUGAUUCUUACAUGUUCCGUUCAUUAAGAUAAGAUUAGUAGAUGUAGGCUGUAAUAGAUGAGAUUUCCUUUUCGGCGUGAUGACGUUUAAUGUCCCCGACAACAUUUAGCCACUUCUUAGCAACCGUCUUUUUCCAAGACACGUAAAAGCUUAUCCUGAGUGAGGUAUUACUGAUGUAUUUUAUGGCGCAGUAUAAAACGUGAACUUGUCUUCACCUCAUUUUAGUCAUUUAACCAAAAAAUCCAUUCCAAAACCCCAUCGACUUCGGGACGAUGGUUGUCCUGUACACAGGAAGAUUCGAAGACCACGAGAAAACAACUUUCGUUACGUCGAGAUCACGUGAAAAUGAAGCCGUGAUCACGAGAAAACAACAGAAAAAAAAAAACUAAUAAUGCAUGGCCGCUUAGGGCUUCCGUAGAUUUUAAGGAAGACAUGUUGGAAAUUGAAGACUCAUCCGACGUUAAACCAUCUUUAAAAGGUAAACUACUGUACAUUAUUACCACGUGGUUUGAGACAUGGCUACAGAAAGACUACGGAUUUUUCCUGAAGUGUGAGAAUUCACACUAAUAAGAAGAGAAUAAUAAGGGGGGAAUUAUUUUACCUGCUUCUAUACAAAAUUUCCAUAAACACUAAACGUUUUGAAGUGGUUCUGCUGCCCCCGUGUGGUAAACCAUCAGCACUGCAUCGUGCGCACCUACAGAGGCUUAUCAGAGGGGAAAAAAAAACCUUCUUUCUAUACAUCUUAAUAUGGAUAUAUAUUAAAUUGUGUACUAUUGUGCACUCCUUGUGACUGUUGUGGUACCUCACCUUAUAUUUUUACAUGGUAAUCCGAGUACAGUGCACCUUUAAAAGUACAUUCAAUUCAGAUCCUGAAGGCGGAGCUUCGUGAACAUGGGCAGGAAUCAUUCUCAUGGCGAACCCAGCUAACUGGUAGAGACCUAGGGUGCGUCUCAAUCAGCUGCCUAGUUCAGAAGUCGCGGCACCGAUCAGCGAGUCGGCCAUUUUAAGUGCCGCCUCGAUCAAUCGCAAAAUCCUUCUGGAAUGUUCGCUCCCUAAAAAUCCCACAAUGCACCACAAAAAACCAAGGAGCAUCGCUGCUCAUCAUGUUCCCUUACUGGAACUGACCUCGCUUUUUUUUUUUUAAGCCCCUCAGCACGAUUACCCACGUUAGAGGUUUUUAACGUUACGUGUGGCGAGACAGGGCCCUUACCAGAGCCCCGACUCGUGUACACGAGGAAUUCAUUUAACUAGCUUUUAGAGUAAUACUUUAAAGGUACAUUUUAAAUACAUAAAAAGGUACCGCCCAAGUAACAAGCUGCACUUCAGUACCUCUCCUCUGAGAGUGUGUAGCGUCUGAUUUUUACAGGAUCCAGAUCCGCCCCUUCGGCGAUAAUCGCUCCUAGAAAAUAAAAACGAAGCAGGCAGUUUUACGAGGUUCAAAUGUUUUAUUUCUCAUAGUCAUGAGUGGCAUUUCAAUGGUUUCCACAGCAUAUGACGCAGCAUGCAGAGACGAAGAGGCCCAAAACGAACAAACAAAAAAUAAUUUCAACAAAAAUCCUAAGACUGAAAUGUUGUAUUCUCAACACAACCCCAUAAUCCCCCCCAAACCCCCCCCCCCCCCAAAACCCAUCACCAUCGUACGAGGUAACAAACUGACCAAUCCCCAACAUAGUUCUAGAAAGCACUGAAUCAAAAGCAAAGAAGCACUAACUGUAUCACAUGUAAAUAACAAAAGUCUGUACAAAACAAUUCAUCCAAAUCAGGAGCCGGAAAAAAAAUAAUAAAACCCCAACAAAACCCGAAACACAAGACCCAGUUUCCACAGCACGCCGCUUCCACAGGGCCGGAGUAAAGCUUUGUUUAAUGUGACACUGAUUUUUCUGAUUAUUAUAUUCAUCUGGUGAUUAUAAGAAGUAUGGAUACAUGAUGUAGUGGAGUAAGUUCGUCAUUUCCAUAUUUAAAACAUUUACCAAAAAAAGUUUGGCAACAUCCAUAUAUUUAUAUGCAACUGUCAUUCAUAUAUCAAUUCUUACCAUUCAUUAUGUAAACAAGAGGAUUGGUUUUCUUAAAAAUGUUUUUAUUUUAAUUUUCCCCCCCAAAAAGUCGGACCUACAUGCACGGAGAAAAGAAAGACACCCGCCCGUUUCAUGCAAAGCACAUCACCAGACCCUUAAGGGUCUUUUUAUUUUGGGGAAAACGCAGGUCGUGCAGUGCGUGGUUUAGAAAAAAGAAAACAAACAAACGACAACAACAAAAAAACAACCAGCAGACGUGCAUGUGAGAGAGCGAGAGAAAGAUUAGAGAGAGCGAGAGAGGAGAGAGUUGGUGAGAGAGAGAGAGAGAGAGAGAGAGAGAGGGGAGAGAGAGGAGUAAGAGAGAGAGAGGGGGAGAGAGGAGAGUUGGAGAGAGAGAGAGAAAGAGGGGAGAGAGAGAGGAGUGUGGGAGAGAGAGAGAGGGGAGAGAAAGAGAGGGGAGAGAGAGAGGGG
This is a long non-coding RNA of Ictalurus punctatus (channel catfish), 2704 nucleotides long. The record is from Ensembl. Lineage: Eukaryota; Metazoa; Chordata; Actinopteri; Siluriformes; Ictaluridae.